GGCAAGGUGGCAGAGUGGUUAUGCAGCGGCCUGCAAAGCCGUGGACGUCGGUUCGAUUCCGAUCCUUGCCU
This 71-nucleotide transfer RNA is filed under the name Gammaproteobacteria bacterium. RNAcentral's name for it is "tRNA-Cys". It matches the Rfam family "tRNA". From Rfam's summary of the family: Transfer RNA (tRNA) molecules are approximately 80 nucleotides in length. Their secondary structure includes four short double-helical elements and three loops (D, anti-codon, and T loops). Further hydrogen bonds mediate the characteristic L-shaped molecular structure. tRNAs have two regions of fundamental functional importance: the anti-codon, which is responsible for specific mRNA codon recognition, and the 3' end, to which the tRNAs corresponding amino acid is attached (by aminoacyl-tRNA synthetases). tRNAs cope with the degeneracy of the genetic code in two manners: having more than one tRNA (with a specific anti-codon) for a particular amino acid; and 'wobble' base-pairing, i.e. permitting non-standard base-pairing at the 3rd anti-codon position. The record is from RNAcentral. Lineage: Bacteria; Pseudomonadati; Pseudomonadota; Gammaproteobacteria. RNAcentral also lists the same sequence under 5 other names.